UACGGAGGGGGCUAGCGUUGUUCGGAAUUACUGGGCGUAAAGCGCACGUAGGCGGAUCGGAAAGUUGGGGGUGAAAUCCCGGGGCUCAACCUCGGAACUGCCUCCAAAACUAUCGGUCUUGAGUUCGAGAGAGGUGAGUGGAAUUCCGAGUGUAGAGGUGAAAUUCGUAGAUAUUCGGAGGAACACCAGUGGCGAAGGCGGCUCACUGGCUCGAUACUGACGCUGAGGUGCGAAAGCGUGGGGAGCAAACAGG
This 253-nucleotide ribosomal RNA is filed under the name uncultured bacterium. RNAcentral's name for it is "partial 16S ribosomal RNA". It matches the Rfam family "Bacterial small subunit ribosomal RNA", at positions 524 to 776 of the family's 1533-position model. RNAcentral also lists the same sequence under 1 other name. The record is from RNAcentral.